GACGAACGCUGGCGGCGUGCUUAACACAUGCAAGUCGAACGAAGAGCGAUGGAAGCCUGCUUCUAUCAAUCCUUAGUGGCGAACGGGUGAGUAACGCGUAAUCAACCUGCCCUUCAGAGGGGGACAACAGUUGGAAACGAUCUGCUAAUACCGCAUACGAUCUAAUCUUGGCAUCGAGGAUAGAUGAAAGGUGGCCUCUACAUGUAAGCUAUCACUGAAGGAGGGGAUUGCGUCUGAUUAGCUAGUUGGAGGGGUAACGGCCCACCAAGGCGAUGGUCAGUAGCCGGUCUGAGAGGAUGAACGGCCACAUUGGGACUGAGACACGGCCCAGACUCCUACGGGAGGCAGCAGUGGGGAAUCUUCCGCAAUGGACGAAAGUCUGACGGAGCAACGCCGCGUGAGUGAUGACGGCCUUCGGGUUGUAAAGCUCUGUUAAUCGGGACGAAAGGCCUUCUUGCGAAUAGUGAGAAGGAU
RNAcentral lists this ribosomal RNA (474 nucleotides) under Veillonella parvula. RNAcentral's name for it is "bacterial SSU rRNA". It matches the Rfam family "Bacterial small subunit ribosomal RNA", at positions 28 to 473 of the family's 1533-position model. The record is from RNAcentral. Lineage: Bacteria; Bacillati; Bacillota; Negativicutes; Veillonellales; Veillonellaceae.